CCUACGGGAGGCAGCAGUGAGGAAUAUUGGUCAAUGGACGAGAGUCUGAACCAGCCAAGUCGCGUGAAGGAUGACUGCCCUAUGGGUUGUAAACUUCUUUUAUAUGGGAAUAACAUGUUCCACGUGUGGGAUUUUGUAUGUACCAUAUGAAUAAGGAUCGGCUAACUCCGGGCCAGCACCCGCGGUAAUACGGAGGAUCCGAGCGUUAUCCGGAUUUUUUGGGUUUAAAGGGAGCGUAGGUGGAUUGUUAAGUUCAUUGUGAAAGUUUGCGGGCCAACCGUAAAAUUGCAGUUGAAACUGGCAGUCUUGAGUACAGUAGAGGUGGGCGGAAUGCGUGGUGUAGCGGUGAAAUGCUUAGAUAUCACGAAGAACUCCGAUUGCGAAGGCAGCUCACUGGACUGCAACUGACACUGAGGCUCGAAAGUGUGGGUAUCAAACAGGAUUAGAUACCCGAGUAGUC
This 460-nucleotide ribosomal RNA is filed under the name uncultured bacterium. Its description in RNAcentral is "partial 16S ribosomal RNA". It matches the Rfam family "Bacterial small subunit ribosomal RNA", at positions 338 to 795 of the family's 1533-position model. The record is from RNAcentral.